AGCCUCGUGGUGAAGAGCACAUUGGAUUGCAAAUCCAAAGGCGUAGACGACAGUCUGCCGGGGCUU
RNAcentral lists this transfer RNA (66 nucleotides) under Tor tambroides (Thai mahseer). Its description in RNAcentral is "tRNA-Cys". It matches the Rfam family "tRNA". From Rfam's summary of the family: Transfer RNA (tRNA) molecules are approximately 80 nucleotides in length. Their secondary structure includes four short double-helical elements and three loops (D, anti-codon, and T loops). Lineage: Eukaryota; Metazoa; Chordata; Actinopteri; Cypriniformes; Cyprinidae. The record is from RNAcentral. RNAcentral also lists the same sequence under 1 other name.